UCACAAUCUUAUUUUGUUGGUUUCUAGGAUUGAGAUAAUGAUUAAUAGGGAUAGUUGGGGGCAUUAAUAUUUAAUUGUCAGAGGUGAAAUUCUUGGAUUUAUGAAAGAUUAACUUCUGCGAAAGCAUUUGCCAAGGAUGUUUUCGUUAAUCAAGAACGAAAGUUAGGGGAUCGAAGACGAUCAGAUACCGUCGUAGUCUUAACCAUAAACUAUGCCGACUAGGGAUUGGUGGGCGAUUAUUAUGUGUCCCCAUCAGCACCUUGUGAGAAAUCAAAGUUUUUGGGUUCCGGGGGGAGUAUGGUCGCAAGGCUGAAACUUAAAGGAAUUGACGGAAGGGCACCACCAGGAGUGGAGCCUGCGGCUUAAUUUGACUCAACACG
RNAcentral lists this ribosomal RNA (380 nucleotides) under uncultured fungus. Its description in RNAcentral is "SSU rRNA". It matches the Rfam family "Eukaryotic small subunit ribosomal RNA", at positions 828 to 1207 of the family's 1831-position model. Lineage: Eukaryota; Fungi. The record is from RNAcentral.